GAGUUUGAUCUUGGCUCAGAUUGAACGCUGGCGGCAUGCCUUACACAUGCAAGUCGAGCGGCAGCGCGGGGGCAACCCUGGCGGCGAGCGGCGCACGGGUGAGUAAUGCAUCGGAAACGUGUCCUCUUGUGGGGGAUAACCAGUCGAAAGACUGGCUAAUACCGCAUGAGCACGAGAGUGGAAAGCGGGGGACCGUAAGGCCUCGCGCGAGAGGAGCGGCCGAUGCCGGAUUAGCUAGUUGGUGGGGUAAAGGCCUACCAAGGCGACGAUCCGUAGCUGGUUUGAGAGAACGACCAGCCACACUGGGACUGAGACACGGCCCAGACUCCUACGGGAGGCAGCAGUGGGGAAUUUUGGACAAUGGGGGCAACCCUGAUCCAGCCAUGCCGCGUGUGUGAAGAAGGCCUUCGGUUGUAAGU
This 419-nucleotide ribosomal RNA is filed under the name uncultured beta proteobacterium. Its description in RNAcentral is "bacterial SSU rRNA". It matches the Rfam family "Bacterial small subunit ribosomal RNA", at positions 9 to 430 of the family's 1533-position model. Lineage: Bacteria; Pseudomonadati; Pseudomonadota; Betaproteobacteria. The record is from RNAcentral.